This 2794-nucleotide ribosomal RNA is filed under the name Fasciola gigantica. RNAcentral's name for it is "SSU rRNA". The stretch from base 1 to 1690 matches the Rfam family "Eukaryotic small subunit ribosomal RNA". The record is from RNAcentral. Lineage: Eukaryota; Metazoa; Platyhelminthes; Trematoda; Plagiorchiida; Fasciolidae.
AUCUGGUUGAUCCUGCCAGUAGUCAUAUGCUUGUCUCAGAGAUUGAACCAUGCAUGUCUAAUUACAUACCAUGAUACGGUGAAACCGCGAAUGGUUCAUUGAAUCAGCUAUGGUUCCUCGAAUCGUACAUACUACAUGGACAACUGCAGUAAUUCUAGAGCUAAUACAUGCCACUAUGCCCUGACCCGCGAAGGAACGGGUAGAUUUAUUAGAACAGAACCAACCGGGGGCGGCUUCGGUCGUCCCUGUUGCAUUCUGUGAUGACUCUGGAUAACUUCACUGAUCGCAGUCGGCCUUGUGUCGGCGACGGAUCUUUCAAAUGUCUGCCCUAUCAAUUUUCGAUGGUAGGUGACCUGCCUACCAUGGUGCUAACGGGUAACGGGGAAUCAGGGUUCGAUUCCGGAGAGGGAGCCUGAGAAACGGCUACCACUUCCAAGGAAGGCAGCAGGCACGCAAAUUACCCAAUCCCGGCAUGGGGAGGUAGUGACGAAAAAUACGGAUAGGGACUCACUAGAGGCUCCGAAUGAGUACAAUUUAAAUCCUUUAACGAGGAUCAACUGGAGGGCAAGUCUGGUGCCAGCAGCCGCGGUAACUCCAGCUCCAGAAGCGUAUAUUAAAGUUGUUGCAGUUAAAAAGCUCGUAGUUGGAUCUGGGUCGCAUGGCUACAUGCCGUCGCUCGUGGGUCUGGCCUGGUUACUGCCGGGUUGAGCUUGCGAGUCGGUCUCGUGGUUGUGCUUCCUUUCUGCUGUGUCUGUUUACGGGUGUCAGCGUGACUGGUGGGCUUGCCUGCUAGUCUGUUGGCAUGCUUCUCGGUGCCUUUAAUCGGGUGUCGGAGGCGGACAUCACGUUUACUUCUGACAAAUUUGAGUGCUCAAAGCAGGCCUUUGUGCCUGAAAAUUCUUGCAUGGAAUAAUGGAAUAGGACUUCGGUUCUAUUUUGUUGGUUUUCGGAUCCGAAGUAGUGGUUAAGAGAGACAGACGGGGGCAUUUGUAUGGCGGUGUUAGAGGUGAAAUUCUUGGAUCGCCGCCAGACAAACUACAGCGAAAGCAUUUGCCAAGGAUGUUUUCAUUGAUCUUGAGCGAAAGUCAGAGGUUCGAAGACGAUCAGAUACCGUCCUAGUUCUGACCAUAAACGAUGCCAACUGACGAUCCGUGGUGGUUCUUUAUGUGUCCCCACGGGCAGUCCCCGGGAAACCCUUAAGUCUUUGGGCUCCGGGGGAAGUAUGGUUGCAAAGCUGAAACUUAAAGGAAUUGACGGAAGGGCACCACCAGGAGUGGAGCCUGCGGCUUAAUUCGACUCAACACGGGAAAACUCACCCGGCCCGGACACUGUGAGGAUUGACAGAUUGAUAGCUCUUUCUUGAUUCGGUGGUUGGUGGUGCAUGGCCGUUCUUAGUUGGUGGAGCGAUUUGUCUGGUUAAUUCCGAUAACGAACGAGACUCUGGCCUGCUAAAUAGUAUGCCUGUCCUCUGUGCUCGUGCAGGUUGCGUUGUCCAUUGCCUCCUCGUGGGGUAGUGGUNNNNNNNNNNCUCUAAUCAAACUAUACAACGCCAUGGUUGCAACAAACCAUGCCUGGCAGAACAAGGGGUGAAACAAACCUCAGGGGGCCCAGCACCGAAAAGGCACCCUGGGCAACAAGCCCCACCUUGUCUGACGUCUUUUGCGUAUUGUAGAUGCAAACUGGAACUUUCCUCCUAUGGCGUUCUACUUCAAUCCCGGUGUACUCUGCGUUGAGCAAUCAUCGACUUUCACAGUGGGAUGGCCACAGCUCAGAUUCCGGCAAAAUAUCCAGCGCCUCCUUAAGAUUACACACCCACCCACGAAGCCGGAAACCACCACCUGAUGGUAACUCACUCAUCUGAAUAGCAAAAUCUUUUGCAUUCUCCAGAGUAGGCGAGGACUAAUUGCAGUCUCAUGCAUAGAAUUUUUCAUGCAUGGCCCAGGGGACGUAAUACUCGUGCCCCCCUUUCCAGUCGUCCGCCGCCAGACGUAAACCGAAAUUUGCACAAAAUGUGGAGAAAGGCAACAAAUGGGUGAGCAUUCAUUUGAUAUUCAGCCAGAUUAUUACUCAGUCAACCAUCUUCCAGCGGAAGUAUCCUCAGUGUUCCCCCGUCUAUGUCGUGGUACGAGCCCGCACAAACAUUUCUUCAAUAUCAAAGACCAAAGCAACAGAUUUCUUUCAAAAUCAAAGGACACUUCACAUAGACUUACUGCUUUGUCCGGUCCUCGUAGCAAGUAAUCAUUCAAGAAGCUUCUCUGGAAGGCGACUGCGCAGUCAAACACAGCCCUCAACUUGUUAGGCUUCUUAGGGUUUGUUACUUCAAGACGUAGUAAGUGCCACUUAGGCUCAAAACCCCAUUUUAACUUUGUAUUGGGAACAACUGAGCGACACACUUGCGCAAGUAUUUCUCUGGUAUUGUACAGUAUUUGCCAAGGACUUCCGGAUCACGCGCGAGAGUUUUCCUCAGGCUGUUAAACCUCUGUUUUGCCACAGUAUAAUUACUUGGAAGACUCACCACAGGAUUUCUUCGUGGAGGUUCAAACUCAGUGUAAACCCAGCUAAAUUUCUGGCAUCGGCAAUCAUACCAACAGCCUGUAUGUCUCCUAGCGAAAGUGAGUUUUUGACUCGUCCCCAUCGCAGAAACCGACGUCGUACAGAUUUAUUUACUUGUUCCGCCAAGGGAUCGGUUUUCAUCUCAAUGUGGUUACCGUCCUCAAGAAGAAUGGUUCCCGGUUUAUUGGACUAAGAACAAUCCAUCCCAAAGUCGUCCUCACGGAAUAGGGUUGUUUUCUUC